AGUGAACGCUGGCGGUAGGCCUAACACAUGCCAGUCGAACGGCAGCACAGUAAGAGCUUGCUCUUACGGGUGGCGAGUGGCGGACGGGUGAGGAAUACAUCGGAAUCUACUUUUUCGUGGGGGAUAACGUAGGGAAACUUACGCUAAUACCGCAUACGACCUACGGGUGAAAGCAGGGGAUCUUCGGACCUUGCGCGAUUGAAUGAGCCGAUGUCGGAUUAGCUAGUUGGCGGGGUAAAGGCCCACCAAGGCGACGAUCCGUAGCUGGUCUGAGAGGAUGAUCAGCCACACUGGAACUGAGACACGGUCCAGACUCCUACGGGAGGAAGCAGUGGGGAAUAUUGGACAAUGGGCGCAAGCCUGAUCCAGCCAUACCGAGUGGGUGAAGAAGGCAUUCGGGUUGUAAAGCCCUUUUGUUGGGAAAGAAAAGCAGCAGGUUAAUACCCCGCUGUUCUGACGGUACCCAAAGAAUAAGCACCGGCUAACUUCGUG
This 492-nucleotide ribosomal RNA is filed under the name uncultured bacterium. RNAcentral's name for it is "partial 16S ribosomal RNA". It matches the Rfam family "Bacterial small subunit ribosomal RNA", at positions 29 to 507 of the family's 1533-position model. The record is from RNAcentral.